UUAAACUGGAGGAAGGUGGGGAUGACGUCAAAUCAUCAUGCCCCUUAUGUCUUGGGCUUCACGCAUGCUACAAUGGCCGGUACAAAGGGUUGCGAUACUGUGAGGUGGAGCUAAUCCCAAAAAGCCGGUCUCAGUUCGGAUUGAGGUCUGCAACUCGACCUCAUGAAGUUGGAGUCGCUAGUAAUCGCAGAUCAGCAACGCUGCGGUGAAUACGUUCCCGGGCCUUGUACACACCGCCCGUCAAGUCACGAAAGUUGGUAACACCCGAAGCCGGUGGCCUAACCCCUUGUGGGAGGGAGCCGUCGAAGGUGGGACCGGCGAUUGGGACUAAGUCGUAACAAUGUGCUUGAGGC
This 353-nucleotide ribosomal RNA is filed under the name Kocuria flava. Its description in RNAcentral is "bacterial SSU rRNA". It matches the Rfam family "Bacterial small subunit ribosomal RNA", at positions 1158 to 1506 of the family's 1533-position model. Lineage: Bacteria; Bacillati; Actinomycetota; Actinomycetes; Micrococcales; Micrococcaceae. The record is from RNAcentral.